Long non-coding RNA from Sinocyclocheilus grahami, 1294 nucleotides. RefSeq lists it as uncharacterized. The record is from RefSeq and is a predicted model, not a curated record. NCBI's taxonomy places the organism in Eukaryota, Metazoa, Chordata, Actinopteri, Cypriniformes, Cyprinidae. The transcript is spliced from 3 exons.
GCUGGAAUCCCUGUUGCAGCUCAGGCUGCCAUAGGUGCCAUAGGUGCCACUGUGGGUGCAGCUGUGGGUGGACCAUUGAUAUGCAGUGCAGGAGCCACAGGUGCUGUCGCAAGCGGAGGCAUCGUGGGAACUGCCGUGAGCUCAGUUGCCAGGUUAAUCGGCAACUGCACUGCGUAAAUGCCCCAAAAGGCCCUUCAGAAAAUGGGCAAUUGGUUUUACAGCAAGACCAGCAUACAAAAAAGACAAUUUACAAUACAUAAAAAAGUACAUUAAAAAAAACACAGGACCACACAAGACAAAACAACUACCUGCUUCCACCUAUACUUCCACCCACAUGCCCAAAUUUAGCAAAGAGAUAGAAGUAGGAAUAAAUGAAUGUUUGUACCUGUUACUCCUAACAGAAGGAAAUCUUAACCGAGAUCCUGAGGGUAAAAACAAACUCAAAGUAGAGAGGAUGGGAAGUAACCAUUAAGAUGGAUUGUGCUUUUCUAACUACCUGGCGAUUAUGUAGGUCGGUAGGAUGACUCUGCUGAACUCCUAAAAUCUUACUGCUAGUGUUAACAAUUUUCACCAGUGCAGUCUUUGCCUUAGACUGCCAUACCAGCAUAACAUAGCAAAUGCUAAAACAGACUCAAUAUAAGAGUCAUCAGGAAUCUAUUAACGUAAAAUUUGGACAGUCUCCAUAGACAGACGUUGCAGGCCCCUUUUACAAAUCUUCUCCACAUUGACAUUCAAAUUCAGCUUGUUAUCAAUCACACAUCCCAAAUACUUAUAUGAUUCCACAAACUCAACCUCCUGAUCUUUAAUAGUGGUUCUCUUUAUACCACUUUGAUUACGCCUAAAAUCAAUAUGCAUGUCUUUAGUUUUUAACACAUUUAUUUGCAGGAAUGCAUUAUCACACCACUGAACAAAAUCAUCUACCACGAGGCCAUGGUCAUUUUCAUCCGCAUGGAGGAGGCUGACAAUAGCUGAAUCAUCUGCAUAUUUUACAAUAAAUCUAUUCUCAUGCCUACUCCUGCGAUCGUCAGUGUAUAAAAUAUACAGGAGUGGAGAAAGCACACAUCCCUGAGGGGACCCUGUGGAUGAAGACAGUACCUCAGACAAACACCCAUUUACCCUUACUCUCUGAAUUGGAUCAGUUAGAAGGUCAAGGAUUCAACCAAUGAUACAAAAAUCAAAACCAAAGCUCAAAAGUUAAUUUCUCUACUAAAAUGUGAGGUUGAAUCAUAUUAAAAGCAGAUGAGAAAUCAACAAAUAAAAUUCUAGCAUUAGUCUUAGUUCCCUCUAAAUGCUU